RNAcentral lists this ribosomal RNA (274 nucleotides) under uncultured bacterium. RNAcentral's name for it is "partial 16S ribosomal RNA". It matches the Rfam family "Archaeal small subunit ribosomal RNA", at positions 473 to 747 of the family's 1478-position model. The record is from RNAcentral.
AAACCAGCACCUCAAGUGGUCAGGAUGAUUAUUGGGCCUAAAGCAUCCGUAGCCGGCUCUGUAAGUUUUCGGUUAAAUCUGUACGCUCAACGUACAGGCUGCUGGGAAUACUGCAGAGCUAGGGAGUGAGAGAGGUAGACGGUACUCGGGAGGAAGUGGUAAAAUGCUUUGAUCUCUCGAUGACCACCUGUGGCGAAGGCGGUCUACCAGAACACGUCCGACGGUGAGGGAUGAAAGCUGGGGGAGCAAACCGGAUUAGAAACCCGAGUAGUCC